This 422-nucleotide ribosomal RNA is filed under the name uncultured archaeon. Its description in RNAcentral is "partial 16S ribosomal RNA". It matches the Rfam family "Archaeal small subunit ribosomal RNA", at positions 323 to 746 of the family's 1478-position model. The record is from RNAcentral.
CUACGGGCCGCACCAGGCGCGAAACCUUUACAAUGCACGCAAGUGUGAUAAGGGGAUCCUAAGUGCUUAUACAAUGUAUAGGCUUUUGUUAAGAGUAAAUAUCUUAGCGAAUAAGUGGUGGGUAAGACUGGUGCCAGCCGCCGCGGUAACACCAGCGCCACGAGUGGCAACCGCGUUUAUUGGGCCUAAAGCGUCUGUAGCCGGUUUGGCAAAUCUCUUGUGAAAUCGUCAGGCUUAACCUGACGGCGUGCUUGAGACACUACCUUACUAGAGACCGGGAGGGGUCAGAGGUAUUCCAGGGGGAGCGGUAAAAUGUGAUAAUCCCUGGAGGAUCACCUAUGGCGAAGGCAUCUGACCAGCACGGAUCUGACGGUGAGGGACGAAGGCUAGGGGAGCGAUCCGGAUUAGAUACCCCUGUAGUC